RNAcentral lists this ribosomal RNA (253 nucleotides) under uncultured bacterium. RNAcentral's name for it is "partial 16S ribosomal RNA". It matches the Rfam family "Bacterial small subunit ribosomal RNA", at positions 524 to 776 of the family's 1533-position model. The record is from RNAcentral.
UACAGAGGGUGCGAGCGUUAAUCGGAAUUACUGGGCGUAAAGGGCUCGUAGGCGGCCAACUAAGUCGGAUGUGAAAUCCCCAGGCUCAACCUGGGAACUGCAUCCGAUACUGGAUGGCUUGAAUUCGGGAGAGGGAUGCAGAAUUCCAGGUGUAGCGGUGAAAUGCGUAGAUAUCUGGAGGAAUACCGGUGGCGAAGGCGGCAUCCUGGACCGACAUUGACGCUGAUGAGCGAAAGCUAGGGGAGCAAACGGG